RNAcentral lists this long non-coding RNA (491 nucleotides) under Neogobius melanostomus (round goby). RNAcentral's name for it is "lncRNA (ENSNMLG00000012190.1)". Lineage: Eukaryota; Metazoa; Chordata; Actinopteri; Gobiiformes; Gobiidae. The record is from RNAcentral.
CUGCGCAUGCGCAAAUAGCACACUUAAACAUUCACCCACUAAAUCAUAAUAAGCACAAUUCAUUUCAACGCAAAGGAGUAGGCCUCUAUUCUACACGUAUGAAGGCAACAGCAGUGAGUUUCCUGUUGUGUACCCCUUUCACCACCUGGGGGCAUCAUCACUCACCAUCACUACCAUCACGCAUCAGCGGCAGCACUUACCCACAGAGCUGCUGAAAAUCUUCUCUGUUCAGAGAAGACGUGGGGCAAGAAACGGCCACCAGAGGGAGCACACAUGCUAUGAAAAAUCAUGUAUAUCCAAUCUAGCAGUGCUCCUGAUGCGGUUAGAGGCUGUGACAAGUCUCUGGGCGGGGGAACCGAGCAGAGCGAGCAAACGGGGUGACGAAGAGGACACGACAUCUGGAGAACACGCAGAAGAAGAAUGCAGCAGUGAGAGGCUACAGAGGCCCCGGGAUCAGAGCAUGCUCAGAUUACCACCACGGUUUCAAUUGA